AAAGAAAAAGGAACUGAUGGAAAUAUUCAAGAAGAACACAAGUGGCCAGUGCUUGUUGGCUCUUGUGCUCGUGGCUACUGUCAUUUCGUCUUCUGAUGCGUUUGGCCCAGAAGGAGGAUGCUUCAUGCCUUUCGUGGAAUGCAAUCUGGACUUGUGCAAGCGUAACUGCGACGGUCUAAUUCCCUAUUGCAAACAGAUAGACGGAGUUUCUGCCCAAUGUUGUUGCUCUCCCAAGAAACUUAGUGCAUCUGUUGAUAAGAAUAACCGUCCUUGAGAUGAAUUCCUAAAUAGUAAUUUGUAUGUCAUUGAUCUUUCAUGGAUCCAAUUCCACCUGAUUGAAUAAAAUUUAUCACCAUUGAAAAA
Long non-coding RNA from Triticum aestivum (bread wheat), 363 nucleotides. RefSeq lists it as uncharacterized. NCBI's taxonomy places the organism in Eukaryota, Viridiplantae, Streptophyta, Magnoliopsida, Poales, Poaceae. The transcript has 2 exons. The record is from RefSeq and is a predicted model, not a curated record.